This is a long non-coding RNA of Thalassophryne amazonica, 184 nucleotides long. RefSeq lists it as uncharacterized. The record is from RefSeq and is a predicted model, not a curated record. NCBI's taxonomy places the organism in Eukaryota, Metazoa, Chordata, Actinopteri, Batrachoidiformes, Batrachoididae. The transcript is spliced from 3 exons.
UUCUACAGGAGAAACAUGUUCCAGAUGCACUGAAGCAUCCCCACAGCAUAAUAGUCCCACCUCCGUGUUUCACUGUGGGGACAGUGUUCUUUGGGUUCUACGCCUCUCCCUUCUUUCACCAAAGAUAAGCAAUAUCUCUAUGGCCAAAGAGCUCUAGUUUAGUCUCAUCUGACCAAAGGACAUG